This 872-nucleotide ribosomal RNA is filed under the name Acinetobacter baumannii. Its description in RNAcentral is "bacterial SSU rRNA". It matches the Rfam family "Bacterial small subunit ribosomal RNA", at positions 9 to 873 of the family's 1533-position model. Lineage: Bacteria; Pseudomonadati; Pseudomonadota; Gammaproteobacteria; Moraxellales; Moraxellaceae. The record is from RNAcentral.
AGAGUUUGAUCAUGGCUCAGAUUGAACGCUGGCGGCAGGCUUAACACAUGCAAGUCGAGCGGGGGAAGGUAGCUUGCUACUGGACCUAGCGGCGGACGGGUGAGUAAUGCUUAGGAAUCUGCCUAUUAGUGGGGGACAACAUCUCGAAAGGGAUGCUAAUACCGCAUACGUCCUACGGGAGAAAGCAGGGGAUCUUCGGACCUUGCGCUAAUAGAUGAGCCUAAGUCGGAUUAGCUAGUUGGUGGGGUAAAGGCCUACCAAGGCGACGAUCUGUAGCGGGUCUGAGAGGAUGAUCCGCCACACUGGGACUGAGACACGGCCCAGACUCCUACGGGAGGCAGCAGUGGGGAAUAUUGGACAAUGGGCGCAAGCCUGAUCCAGCCAUGCCGCGUGUGUGAAGAAGGCCUUAUGGUUGUAAAGCACUUUAAGCGAGGAGGAGGCUACUUUAGAUAAUACCUAGAGAUAGUGGACGUUACUCGCAGAAUAAGCACCGGCUAACUCUGUGCCAGCAGCCGCGGUAAUACAGAGGGUGCAAGCGUUAAUCGGAUUUACUGGGCGUAAAGCGCGCGUAGGCGGCUAAUUAAGUCAAAUGUGAAAUCCCCGAGCUUAACUUGGGAAUUGCAUUCGAUACUGGUUAGCUAGAGUGUGGGAGAGGAUGGUAGAAUUCCAGGUGUAGCGGUGAAAUGCGUAGAGAUCUGGAGGAAUACCGAUGGCGAAGGCAGCCAUCUGGCCUAACACUGACGCUGAGGUGCGAAAGCAUGGGGAGCAAACAGGAUUAGAUACCCUGGUAGUCCAUGCCGUAAACGAUGUCUACUAGCCGUUGGGGCCUUUGAGGCUUUAGUGGCGCAGCUAACGCGAUAAGUAGACCGCCU